Long non-coding RNA from Sipha flava (yellow sugarcane aphid), 660 nucleotides. RefSeq lists it as uncharacterized. The transcript has 3 exons. NCBI's taxonomy places the organism in Eukaryota, Metazoa, Arthropoda, Insecta, Hemiptera, Aphididae. The record is from RefSeq and is a predicted model, not a curated record.
AUAAUAAAAAUGUUUUGAUUACAUUUUAGUGAUACCACUGGAAUUAUUCCGAGGAGCAGCUCUAUCUUUAACAAGUUCUAUAGCAUCAAAAUGUGUUGGGCCUACUGAAUUAGGUGCGAUGAAUUCUGUAAAAUUACUAAUGGAAAGUUUGCUGAAAAGCGGAUUUUUACCGUUUUACAAUUUUACGUACAACCAUACGUUUGAAUCUAUGCCAGGCGCAUUUUUUUUGAUUAGUAUUGCCCUAACUGCUCCACUAGUGUUCAGCUUUGGUUACAUAUACUACAUUCGUCGAACACAACUGAAAUCUACUCUGACUCUGGGGAACAUCAAUGGAAUUACAAUACAGAAGACCGAAAUAACACCAAUCACUGAGACAACAGAUAAAACAACUUACUACAUUUAAUUUAAAUAUAAUCAUCUUGGUGUAUAAUAUAUUUAAACAUUUGUAAGAAUAUAUUGCCUAUAGCCAUAUAUUUUUUUAUUUGAAUGUUUAUUGAAGAUAAGCUAAAUGCUUAACAUUAAAUAAAGUUUAACAAUAUAACUUGUACAAAUCAUGUAAAUAAAUAUUAUAAAUACAUACAAUAUUAUUUUUCUUUUAAUGCGUAGUAAAUUAUAUGCGGUUUGGUUUUAUUUACAUUGGUUUUCUGUAUACAAUUUUAA